GGGCGUCGCCGGGUGAUCGCUGCAUAGCAGUAUGCAGAGGAAAGUCCGGACACCUACGGACACCGUGCUUCCUAACGGGAAGGGUCCUUCAGUAAGGAUACAGCCAGUGCAACAGAAAGUAUACCGCCCGGACUUCGGUCCGGGUAAGGGUGAAAUGGUGAGGUAAGAGCUCACCGUCCCGGAUGGUGACAUUCGGGUGCAGGGUAAACCUCACGGGGUGCAAGAUCAAGCAGGCAGUAUGUGCAGUCCGUCGCAACGCUGCCGGGUAGAUCGCACGACCGUACCGGUGACGGUGCGGCCAGAUAAAUGAUCACCAUCCGGAUGCGAAUCCGGAUACAGAAUCCGGCUUACAGGCGGCGCCCGCCU
RNAcentral lists this RNase P RNA (366 nucleotides) under Bacteroidetes bacterium HLUCCA01. RNAcentral's name for it is "RNaseP RNA component". It matches the Rfam family "Bacterial RNase P class A". Rfam says of the family: Ribonuclease P (RNase P) is a ubiquitous endoribonuclease, found in archaea, bacteria and eukarya as well as chloroplasts and mitochondria. Its best characterised activity is the generation of mature 5'-ends of tRNAs by cleaving the 5'-leader elements of precursor-tRNAs. Lineage: Bacteria; Pseudomonadati; Bacteroidota. The record is from RNAcentral.